This 503-nucleotide ribosomal RNA is filed under the name uncultured bacterium. RNAcentral's name for it is "partial 16S ribosomal RNA". It matches the Rfam family "Bacterial small subunit ribosomal RNA", at positions 28 to 523 of the family's 1533-position model. The record is from RNAcentral.
GAUGAACGCUGGCGGCGUGCCUAGCACAUGCAAGUCGAGGGGCAGCAUAAAAGUAGCAAUACUUUGGUGGCGACCGGCGCACGGGUGAGUAACGCGUAUGCAACCUACCUAUCAGAGGGGAAUAACCCGGCGAAAGUCGGACUAAUACCGCAUAAAACAGGGGCACCGCAUGGUGAUAUUUGUUAAAGAGAUUCGCUGAUAGAUGGGCAUGCGUUCCAUUAGGUAGUUGGUGAGGUAACGGCUCACCAAGCCGACGAUGGAUAGGGGAACUGAGAGGUGGGUCCCCAACACGGGUACUGAGACACGGACCAGACUCCUACGGGAGGCAGCAGUGAGGAAUAUUGGUCAAUGGGCGAGAGCCUGAACCAGCCAAGUCGCGUGAAGGAAGAAGGAUCUAUGGUUCGUAAACUUCUUUUGCAGGGGAAUAAAGUGCAGGACGUGUCCUGUUUUGUAUGUACCCUGAGAAUAAGGAUCGGCUAACUCCGUGCCAGCCGCCGCCGUAA